Molecule: long non-coding RNA, 408 nt
Organism: Helianthus annuus (common sunflower)
Lineage: Eukaryota; Viridiplantae; Streptophyta; Magnoliopsida; Asterales; Asteraceae
Exons: 2
Source: RefSeq, a predicted model, not a curated record
UAAAUGAACCCAGGAGGGUAAUCAAUUCUACAAAGAAAUGUUGGAGAAUGGUGUCAAUAAGCUAGGUGACAAGCAGAUUGAAAAGUUGAACUUAGUUAUCAAGGAGCUCGUUAAGGAAAAUGAUGAAGAAAAAGAAAGGCGAAAUGGAAUUAUUGCUGGGUUGUUGGCUGAAAAGAAAAAAGAUAAGGUGGAUAAAGAUGCUAUGCUCGAUACGAUGCCACAAAUUGAAGCUAUGUUAACAAGUACAAUUUGAAGAUAGACUACAAAUACUUGGUUUUGAAUGUUUUGAUGUUUAUCAUAUAAGGAUUUUUUUAGUUAUUUCAUGUUUUAGCUGAUAUUUCUAUUAGAAUGUUUUAUAUGCUUUUGAUACACAUAUGUUUUAUAUAAUUUUGGGUUUUCGUGAUCUUA